RNAcentral lists this ribosomal RNA (497 nucleotides) under uncultured bacterium. RNAcentral's name for it is "partial 16S ribosomal RNA". It matches the Rfam family "Bacterial small subunit ribosomal RNA", at positions 28 to 507 of the family's 1533-position model. The record is from RNAcentral.
GAUGAACGCUGGCGGCGUGCCUAAUACAUGCAAGUCGAGCGAACGGACGAGAAGCUUGCUUCUCUGAUGUUAGCGGCGGACGGGUGAGUGACACGUGGAUAACCUACCUAUAAGACUGGGAUAACUUCGGGAAACCGGAGCUAAUACCGGAUAAUAUUUUGAACCGCAUGGUUCAAAAGUGAAAGACGGUCUUGCUGUCACUUAUAGAUGGAUCCGCGCUGCAUUAGCUAGUUGGUAAGGUAACGGCUUACCAAGGCAACGAUGCAUAGCCGACCUGCGAGGGUGAUCGGCCACACUGGAACUGAGACACGGUCCAGACUCCUACGGGAGGCAGCAGUAGGGAAUCUUCCGCAAUGGGCGAAAGCCUGACGGAGCAACGCCGCGUGAGUGAUGAAGGUCUUCGGAUCGUAAAACUCUGUUAUUAGGGAAGAACAUAUGUGUAAGUAACUGUGCACAUCUUGACGGUACCUAAUCAGAAAGCCACGGCUAACUACGUG